GAUGAAGAACGCAGUGAAAUGCGAUAAGUAAUGUGAAUUGCAGAAUUCAGUGAAUCAUCGAAUCUUUGAACGCAUCUUGCGCUCCUUGGUAUUCUGAGGAGCAUGCCUGUUUGAGUGUCAUUAAAUUCUCAACUACACUGACUUUGAAUUGGUGUGGCUUGGAUUUGGGGGGAAAAUUGUUGUGGGCUUUUUGUAUAGUCUGCUCCCCUGAAAUUGAUUAGCGGUACCUUUGUGGAACUGUCUACAGGUGUGAUAAUUAUCUACAUCUUAGACAUAUGCUGGAAUGCUGCUUUCUAAACCUUACUUGUAUUGACAAUCUUGACCUCAAAUCAGGUAGGACUACCCGCUGAACUUAAGCAUAUCAAUAAGCGGAGGA
This 376-nucleotide unclassified non-coding RNA is filed under the name soil metagenome. RNAcentral's name for it is "partial contains 5.8S ribosomal RNA, internal transcribed spacer 2, and large subunit ribosomal RNA". The stretch from base 1 to 120 matches the Rfam family "5.8S ribosomal RNA", at positions 35 to 154 of the family's 154-position model. The record is from RNAcentral.